GACGAACGCUGGCGGCGUGCUUAACACAUGCAAGUCGAACGUGAUUUUUGUGGAAAUUCUUUCGGGAAUGGACAUGAAAUGAAAGUGGCGAACGGGUGAGUAACACGUGAGCAACCUACCUUACACAGGGGGAUAGCCGUUGGAAACGACGAUUAAUACCGCAUGAGACCACAGAAUCGCAUGAUAUAGGGGUCAAAGAUUUAUCGGUGUAAGAAGGGCUCGCGUCUGAUUAGCUAGUUGGAAGGGUAAAGGCCUACCAAGGCGACGAUCAGUAGCCGGUCUGAGAGGAUGAACGGCCACAUUGGAACUGAGACACGGUCCAAACUCCUACGGGAGGCAGCAGUGGGGAAUAUUGCACAAUGGGGGGAACCCUGAUGCAGCGACGCCGCGUGAGCGAAGAAGGUUUUCGAAUCGUAAAGCUCUGUCCUAUGAGAAGAUAAUGACGGUAUCAUAGGAGGAAGCCCCGGCUAAAUACGUG
Molecule: ribosomal RNA, 478 nt
Filed under: uncultured bacterium
Lineage: Bacteria
Description: partial 16S ribosomal RNA
Rfam family: Bacterial small subunit ribosomal RNA
Source: RNAcentral